UGCCAGCAGCCGCGGUAAUACGGAGGGUGCAAGCGUUGUUCGGAAUUAUUGGGCGUAAAGCGCGUGUAGGCGGUUCGUUAAGUCUGAUGUGAAAGCCCGGGACUCAACCCCGGAAGUGCAUUGGAAACUGGCGAACUUGAGUACGGGAGAGGAAAGUGGAAUUCCGAGUGUAGGGGCGAAAUCCGUAGAUAUUCGGAGGAACACCAGUGGCGAAGGCGGCUUUCUGGACCGGUACUGACGCUGAGGUACGAAAGCGUGGGGAGUGAACAGGAUUAGAUA
This 279-nucleotide ribosomal RNA is filed under the name uncultured bacterium. RNAcentral describes it as "partial 16S ribosomal RNA". It matches the Rfam family "Bacterial small subunit ribosomal RNA", at positions 506 to 784 of the family's 1533-position model. The record is from RNAcentral.